This 30-nucleotide non-coding RNA is filed under the name Homo sapiens (human). Lineage: Eukaryota; Metazoa; Chordata; Mammalia; Primates; Hominidae. The record is from RNAcentral.
UGCUGCAAGUGAAGCAGAAUGACUACGUGC